UCGAGAAUUUUUCACAAUGGGCGAAAGCCUGAUGGAGCGACGCCGCGUGGGGGAUGAAUGGCUUCGGCCCGUAAACCCCUGUCAUUCGGGAUCAAUGCGACUGACUUAAUAAGUCAAUCGUUGAUAGUACCGGUAGAGGAAGGGACGGCUAACUCUGUGCCAGCAGCCGCGGUAAUACAGAGGUCCCAAGCGUUGUGCGGAUUUACUGGGCGUAAAGGGUGCGUAGGCGGUCGGGCCAGUCUGAUGUGAAAGCUCCGGGCUCAACUCGGGAAGCGCAUCGGAUACUGCUCGGCUAGAGGAUUGGAGGGGGGACUGGAAUUCUCGGUGUAGCAGUGAAAUGCGUAGAUAUCGGGAGGAACACCAGUGGCGAAGGCGAGUCCCUAGACAAUUCCUGACGCUGAGGCACGAAAGCUAGGGGAGCAAACA
This 426-nucleotide ribosomal RNA is filed under the name uncultured prokaryote. RNAcentral's name for it is "bacterial SSU rRNA". It matches the Rfam family "Bacterial small subunit ribosomal RNA", at positions 355 to 774 of the family's 1533-position model. The record is from RNAcentral.